Long non-coding RNA from Symsagittifera roscoffensis, 944 nucleotides. RefSeq lists it as uncharacterized. The transcript is spliced from 4 exons. NCBI's taxonomy places the organism in Eukaryota, Metazoa, Xenacoelomorpha, Acoela, Convolutidae. The record is from RefSeq and is a predicted model, not a curated record.
UCGGAGAAAACUUAUGCAAAUACAUCCAAAUUGGUACAUGUUGCAAUAUUCACAAGGCUCAUUCUUGAUGUUGCAACAUUCUGGACCCAAGCUCUUUUUUGUGUUGCGCUGGCAUUGGAGAGAUAUAUUUACAUCGUGGAAGGAACUCGAGCAAAGCAAAUACUAACUCCGCAACGUCGUUUGAAGUUUUAUUCGGGAAUCUUAACUCUCAGCCUCUCUGUGCCUGUUUUUGUAGUCUGUGACUUCGCUCUCAACAUGAGGCAAUAUUCGGAUGAGGACGUUGAUCAAAUUCCUACACUCCAGGGCAAUGGGAUUUCUGAAUGCCCAGAAUGUAUUCGAUUCAAGAUACAAAACUUUGCACCCUUAGGACUUAUCACAUGUGUGAUCACAUUAGUCAUUUGCUCUUUUCUGUACGUGAAAAGUGCACUGGUUUUGCGAAAGUCUUCAAUACAAAGAGCUGGGCUACUGACUAAAGCUUUUGCAGCUAUUCUUGUCGCAUGGGUUUUCAUGGUUUGGCCUCACAUUAUUUUCGUGGACUUCUUUCUCAAAGGGCAACAACCAAACUUACCUGUGUUGUUGAAAAAAGUUGGGAGCAGGAUGGGAGUUCUUGAUCGGUUCUCGUCUAUUCUUUUUGGCUUCUCAAUGGAAAAUGAAAUCGAAGAGUAUACUAAACUAUACAGAAUGGAUAUCAUUUUACGUGGGCUUCGUCUCAGUUAUGGCAUGGUGAACACUAUUAUUGUUUUCAUUCUGAUGAAGCCGUUGCAAAAGCCAGCUAUUGAGUUGAAAAACUGGCUCAAAAAAAAGUUAGGGAUGAAAAACUGAUCCCUGAAGCAAUGAAGGUGUACCCGAUUUCUGGACACAGAAUAAAAACGAUCUUGCCCGAUACUAUUUGUGUUAUACCCGAUUCUUUUCAUUGAAUAAGCCACCAAUCCGAAAUGUCUCAU